RNAcentral lists this long non-coding RNA (19269 nucleotides) under Capsicum annuum. RNAcentral's name for it is "long non-coding RNA (CANN_LNC015300)". The record is from RNAcentral. Lineage: Eukaryota; Viridiplantae; Streptophyta; Magnoliopsida; Solanales; Solanaceae.
CCCCCAAUUCACCAAAAGGGAAAACUAGCUAGGGUUCAAAGUUCUAUGGAUAGAGUGUUCUUCAAACUCUCAUCAUUAGCAGGUAUGUGGAAUAAUAAAAAAUCGAUGGGGGUUUUAAUCUAUAUUCUUUUAAAACUUUUUAGUGUUUAAAUUAUGGGGUUCAAUUUAACUACAAGAACAUGUCUUCAAAUUCACACUUAUUCCUUAAUUAUGAAUUUUUGCUAAGUAUAUAUAUUAUAUUGUGAUUGGUGAAGAGAACGAAGUUUUUUUUUUGGCAAUGAACAGUGAAGUAUUACCAUACCAACAAAAUAAAAUCGAACAUACACUUAGGGAUCACUUACAACCCUACCUCUUCUAGUAAGGAAGUUAGACUGGGUGAGCCUUAAAGAUCUAUGUACAAGUACUGUCUUCUAAGUAUUUGACAUAUUUAGCUCUCUUGUCAUCUCUAUACCUAUUCAGUCUCUCCGUAAGAACAAAUUUGACUUGUUGUAUAAUCAUGCUGUGAGGUAUAGCCUGCUGUGUAAAGAUUUUCAAAUUCCUAGCUCUCCAAAUGUGAUAUAUGAAGGCCCCAUAAGCUACAACCAUCAUCUCUUUCUUUUUUUGCAUCAGUGUCUACGAUUGAUGUGCAAUAGAGUGUACUUUAUCCUUCCCUAAUAUAUCCUUAAUCCCAUCUGUUGUUGCACCAGGUUCCACAGAUCUUUUCUCCCUGAGCAUUUAAUAAACAAGUGUUUUGCAUCUUUCAAUACAUCUGUAUCACAUAAGCAACAAUCGGGGCUGUCACAAUGAAUUCCCAUACCACAUAAUCUGUCCUUUGUGAGUAGUUUUUCUUGUGCUGCUAACCACAUUAUAAAUCUUUAUUUGAGUAGGCUGAUACCAGUCCAUACCAAUGUUGCAAUAGGAUCACGCAAAACUGGGCCUAAUAAGGCUAAAUAGCUUUGCAUUGUUGAGUAUUUAGCAUUUGUUGUUAGACAAUAUUUUCCUCCUUGGUACCAGUCCCCCAUUUUCAAUUUGAGCUUGUGAAAGUUCCUCCAAUACCAGCUGCUAUCAGCUGGUGGUUGACAUGUCCAGAAAUUUACUCCAUUAUUCAUAUAAACACUAUGUAUCCAUUUUACCCACAAAAUAUCCUUCUUUUCCAUGAUCAACCAAAUAAAUUUUCCUACAAGUGCGAUAUUCCACAAUUUACAGCUACUAAUAUUCAAUCCUCCUUGAUAUUUGGGUCUGCAUAGUGUUUCCCAAGCUACCAGAUGAACCCUCUUGUUCUUCUCAUUACUCCCCCAUAAAAAAUCCCUACACAACUUAUCCACCUCCUUCAACACCUCCUGAGGAAAGAUGAAUACUGACCCCCAGAAGUUAUGUAUUAAAAAUAUUACAGACUGUAUAAGUUGUAUUCUCCCUGCGUAAGAUAAAUGCCUGGUAGAAGCUACUCUGAUUCUGCAAGUAAUUUUCAAACAUAGCUGAUGGCAUUCCAUUUUUGUCCACUUUUUAGGUGAUAAGGGAAGUCCCAGAUACCUAAUAGGAAAAGAUCCCACUGUAAACCCUAUAAUGUAAAUAAUUUUUUCCUUAACAGCAUCCUUGAUACCUGGCACAAAAAUGUUAGACUCGUCUAUAUUGGCAACAAGUCCAGUAAUAUUCAAAAAGUGGUUCAAGGCUUUCAUUAUUCUCCUAACUAAGGCCUCAUUGCCUUUACAAAAUAUCAUCAGAUCAUCGGCGAAGGUAAGAUGUGUCAACUUCAAUUCCUUGCACAUGGGAUGAUAUUUAAAGUUAGGCAAGUUUCUUAUUUUGUGAAGGAUUCUAGCAAGGUAUUCCAUAACCAACACAAACAACAAGGGGGAGAUGGUAUCUCCUUGUCGCAAACCUGUUCUACCCUCAAAAUAUCCAUAACUAUCUCCAUUUAAUUUAAUUGAAAACUUGGUUGUAGUCACACAUAGCAUAAUUAGUUGCCUAAACUUCUCAGGGUACCCAUAUCCGCAGAGCAUUUCCUUGAUGAAUUCCCAUGUAAUCAUAUCAUACGCCUUUCUUAAAUCGAUCUUCAUAAGACAUCUUGGACUUAUUUUCCUGUUGUACUGCCUCAAUAAGUUGUGGCACAUAAGGAUAUUAUAAAUCAAGGACCUGUCUUGGAUAAAUGCAGCUUGUGUGUCCUGUACUAAGGAUGGCAGUACAACUUUUAAUCUCUUGCAAAUUAUUUUAGACACACAUUUAUAGACUACGUUGAAACACACAAUGGGUAUAUAUUGACUAGGAUUGUUAGGACACUCCACCUUAGGUAUCAAAGUAAUACUUGUAGCAUUAAGUUGAUGUAUCAUCUUGCCAGUUCUGAACACCUCCAACACUAAAUCAGUUAUGAGGUCACCAGUUAUUGCCCAAGUACUUUGGAAAAAACCACUUCUAUAUCUAUCCAGCCAGGGCUGCUGUUUGGGUUAAUCCCAAACAUAGCUUCCUUGACAUCUUCCCUAGUAAAUCCCUGCAAUAAUUCCACCUGUUGUUCUACAGUUAAGGUAUGUCCAUAAGUCAAAAAACCUUCAGAAGCAAGCUUCCUUGGACCUCCAGUUUCUCCCAUCAUUGCAGAGUAGUAUCUCACAAAGACUUCAGCCACAUCCUUAAGAUCUGUCACCACCUUUUUAUUCUCAUCAGUUUUGCAUCACAAUUUGCAUCAAUCUCUUUUGCUUUAGAAUUGAGUAAAAAUAUUUGGUAUUGUCAUCACCAAGCUUCACCCAUUUAGCCUUGCUACUUUGCACCAGCAUCACUUCUGCAAGAUAGCUUGAUCUUUUAAAUUUCAGAUCAAUCUUUUCUUGACACUGUUUAAGCAUUUUUCUAUCUUUAUUUGCUUCAUUUAUCAUGUUACCGAAGUGGUGAGUGCAGACUCCUGAGUUUGUGUUUCAAGUACUUUAAUUUACCUAUAAUUUGAUACAUCUUACAUCCUAUACCAGGUUGCUGCCAACCACUUUUAACUAACCUCGUAAAGUCAGGAUGCAUGCUCCAAGCAUUACAGUAUUUGAAUGGUUUCCUUGUUCUUGUAUCUUGAGAAGCCAAUGUCAAGUAAGUAGGACUAUGAUCACUCAUCUCUCCAGCCAAAUAUUGUACUUUACAAGUAGGUGUGAUCUAACCACUCACUACUAGCAAAGGUACAGUCCAGUUUUGAAAAAAUUAUAUUUGUUGCAUGUCUAGCAUUCCAGGUGUAAUUACAGCCUAGUAUAGGUUGGUCAAUCAACCCACACCGAUCUACAAUUUCUUGGAAAUCCUUCAUCUCUGGGAUGGUCGCCGGGUUCCCACCUAUCCUGUUCUUCAUAUAUAGCACAACACUGAAAUCACUUGUGAUAAUCCAAGGCAGAGUAGUGCCUUAGAAUUAGGCUAGGUAAUUCCAUAGGUCCUACCUCUCUACUCUCUCAUUGUACCCAUACACUAUAGUAAGUAAAAACUGCGUAAAUACAAGUAUAUGCUCCACCUUGCAGGUUAAUGCUUGGGAAGAUUCACUACGUACUGUCACUUUGUAAUUAUUCUCCUUCCAUAAUAACUAAAUCCUCCUGUUGUAGUGGGAGGAAUGGUUUGUAAUGAACUUCCAACCUCCAAAGAUCUUAUCAGCCACCAUUUGUACUCUAUUUAAUUUUAUUUUAGUCUCUACAAGACCAACCAUUUCAGCUUUCAAAUCACCACAAAGGAGUUUCACCUCUUUCUAUUUUGAGAGGCCAUUAAGGCCUCUCACAUUCCAGCAUAGCAGCUUAACUAUCCCUCCAAGGGAUAGUAUUUUUCCCACCCCCAUGCUUGGCAGCAUUUUCCUACCUACUCUGACCUUUUUCUUCCCUGUUCAAACUUUGGAAAGUUUUAUCUACAUGUAUAGUAGUGGUAUGCACAACUUUAUUCUAGGAUGUUGAGCCAACAACCUUUUGGGUUUUUUUUAAUCCAUCAUUACUCGUCUUCAACAUCAAGUCUCCAGUGUCUUUAGGAGGUUGUACCUGAUGUUUUGGUUUUUUACAGAAUAUUUUACGCCUUUUUCUUAGUAUAAUUAUGUGUUUUCAAGUAGCCACUAUUGUAUUUAACAUGGUAUUUUAGUUCUUUCAGGAUAAGGACUGAGUGUGAAGGGUAACUAGGAGAAUCUGAGCAAAACAAAUUGUAAAAUAAACAGCGACGGCUUAGGUGAUGGACCGUUAACCUUGCGAUAAUUUGUCGGUUUAAAUUAUUGACCAAAAGUAGAAGGAAUAGCCUCUGGACAUCAUGCAACGGUCCAGACAAUGGACCGUCAGCCCUGCGAUGGGUCGUCGGUCUAAAUCGUCGCCAUGAUAUAGAACGCAUCAUCACUGGAAGUCCUAUGAUGGUCCAGGCGAUAGACUGUUGACUUUGCGAUGAGCCAUCGCACUACCCAUUGCCUUGAAAAAGAAUAUGGAGUCACUGGAAACCCAGCGAUGGUGUAGGAGAUGGACCGUCGGACCUGCAAUGAACCGUUGCCUGACCCGUUGAUCAAAACGCAGAGAAUCUGAGUUUGAAUUUUAAAACCCUAGUUCUGGAAUCAUAUAAAUAUCAAGUAUUAGGGUUUAUUCUGGAUAUUUUAUCUUUAGUUUCAUACUUUCUCCUCUAGUGAUAGCUUUGUACUACUUUUCAUUGGGAUUUGAAUCAAAAGAUUGAGAGUUGAUUAUUAGUUUUCAUAUUCUCCAUCAAAGAUUGAGAAGAACAAUAUUGCAACUUUUGUAAGUACUUUUCUGAAGUUAUUUAUGAACAAUCAAUAUACCUUUGAUUUCUUAUAUGGAGAUGAGUAGCUAAACUCCCAUAACUAGGGUUGUAGGAGCCUUGAUAUAGAGAACUAUUUUGGGGUUGUGAAUGGGUUUGAUUUCUAACAUCUAUCGAAAUUGCAUGAAUCCUUCUUCAUCUUAAUGACAUCUCUUGGUUGCAAACUUGAGAAGUGCGUCCUUCAACUCCACUUGUCUGAUAAGAAAGUGGAUGUUGGGAAAAGAAGUGAUUCACAUGAACUCCAUAGGUUUACCCUUUGGGUUAACGGGUUGAUGCCUUAACAGGAUCAAUCCUCAUGAUAUUGUUAUCGAAUAAUGCGUGAAUCCUUUAAGUUCGAGAGAAAUAAAGGGUGAAAUACUCAUUUGGUUCAGAAACGCAUAUGUAAUCCUUAGAAUUCAAUAAUUCUUGCGAUUGGAUACAUAAGUUAGAAUUCAAAAACAAACUCACAACCCUAAUUGUUUGAACAUCUUGGUGAGCAUAACUCUUGUCAAUUCAUUCUCCUUGAAAUUACAUCUACAUUUACUCUCAGUAGCUGGAAUUUGUGUAACACAAAUACAAAAGAACACUGUUAACAUUUCUAGACCCUCUUUAUUUUGGAACCUUAGAUCAACAGUCUAAUAACAAUCACAAUACUUAGUGAACACUGUAUUCCCUGUGGGAUUCGACAUCCAACCCAGUUGGGUUCUAUAUUUGAUAGCGACCGCUUACUCUCUCAUAAGAGAGGUGUAAUUUGGGUGUAUCAAAUUUUGGCACCAUUGCUGGGGAAUACGGUUGUCAAUUAAGUUUGUUUUUGUUAAUUGACCUUUGGUCAAGUUUCCCAAAUUUUGCUUUUGUUUGUUAUUUUUAUUUAUGUAGGGGAGUUGUUGUUUAUGCCAAGUACAUAGAGAUUAGGUGCACCAUUAUUACGAAUACAUCUGGAACCGUAACUUAUUGACAGAAUGAUAGAACCCCAAGAUGCUGAGAGACUAGCCGCAUUGGCUAGAUCUCAACUAAAUCAGUAUAAUGAUGGCCAACAUGCAUGUCAUCCUAAUCCUGAUGAUUAUGAUUUGGGAGAUGAUGACUUGUUUGAUCCUGCUAAUCAAAGACGUGCAGAGAAUCUACCUGCACCAAUGAACAAAAAAUAUGAACAAAAAUUAUCCUUUCAAGGCGAGACAUAAUCGUCAAGCUGUUCAAUUUAAUUUUAAUGAUGUUGAAGAUGGAAUGGACGAAGCUGGUGCCACUGGAGCUAUUAUUUCUCCACCUCUAGCACUAGGAGCAAAGUUCAAUAUUACCAGUAUAAUGAUCCAGCUCUUUCAUCUGAAGAGAUUGUUUGGUCGACUACCGGGAGAUGAUCCCAAUGUGUAUUUAGUGAAUUUUAUCACUAUUUGCAAGUCCUUUGAUAACUCGGGAGUGGGACAAAAUGCCAUCCGCCUACGUUUAUUUUUGUUUUCUCUAUCUGGAGAGGCAACAUUAUGGCUUAAUGAGCUGACACUUGAUUUUAUAACCAACUGGAAGCAAUUGAAAUAGGCUUUCCUAGAAAGGUUCUUUCAGCCUUCUAGAAAGGUAUAGUUGAGGGAUGAGAUCAGCAACUUAGGCAGUUUCCAACCAAAGCCCUUUAUGAGACAUGGGAAAGGUUAAAAAAAAAGCUGACUAGUGUCCAAAUCAUAAUAUGAUAGAUAUUUAUCUGAUGGAGACUCUUUAUUGGGCUUUGAACUCUAUGACGAAGCCAGUUUCUGAUAAUGCUACAGGGGGGAUCAUUUGUGGAUCUCACUUUUCAGGAGGCCUCGAAGAUGCUUGAUUGGAUGACCAAAUAAAGAAGACCUUGGCAUGCCAAGGAUUCUGUGGUAGCAACCCCUGCUGUGCCUAUUGGCAUGACUACGGAACAAUAUAAGAAAGAGGAAGAACAUGAUCAAGACAUGGCAUACUUGAGGACACAAAUGGAUUUGUUGAUCAAGUAUUUAUUAUCUGUAAAGACUGAAAAAGUAAAAGCUGUUGCAGCCAAAGGUAGAGAUACUUCUGAUUCAGAAGAAGUGGCUAACUAUUUGAAUAAUCAGGGGGGUUUUUUGAGGCAAUAGCCAAGGAAAUCAAGGUCGGAACUUCUACGACAAGGCUGGUUACAAGGAUAAGGAGCAAGGAAAUUGAAAAGGUAAGAAUGAUAGUAGUGGGCUAUAUGUACCUCCCGAAAGUAGAGAUAGUGCUGCAACUAACUCUGGCAAGAUGUCCAUAGAGGAACUAAUGGAGAAAUUAUUAAAGGGAGUUGAAGCUACCAAUUCUGAAGUGAAUACUAUAAAGAGCGAUUUAUCUUCUAUAAGUCAGUUGGUAAACUCGCACUCUACCUCUAUCAAGCAGUUAGAGCAACAAAUGAAAUAACUCUCAGCAGUGUUGAAUCAGAGGAAGACUGGAACAUUGCCAAGUGAUACCAUUCAGAAUCCAUGAAAUGAUGGUUCUUGCAUGACUAUCACUACUAGAAGUGGUAAGGUAUGGGAAGGCCCUCCUGUAGGUAAGCCCGUGAUUGAUAUUAUAGCCGAUAAUAUUGAAGAAGCAGUGAUUUUUCAUUUGAUAGAGUCUGGGAAAUCAAAUAAGGUCAUUGAUGACACACCAUCCAACAGUCAGCAAGUUGAUGAGUUAGAGAAGAAUAAGGGAAAGGAGGAUCAAGUGGUGAUUACCAUUCUUCCAAAACCACCUCCUUUAUUUUCUCAUCGGUUGAAGAAGAAGGCCGACGACACAAAGUUUAAAAAAUUCAUGGCUAUGAUAAAGUAGUUGAUGAUUAAUCUACCACUAGUGGAGGCAUUAUAACAAAUGCCCGAGUAUGCAAAGAUCAUGAAAGACCUCAUCACAAAGAAGCAGUCGGUUAGUUUUGAGCUGAUGGACAAUCUUUAUCAUUAUGGUGCUAUUUCCAUAAGGUAUCUGGUGUAAAAAAACAUAGAUCUGGGAGAAUUUACUAUCCUAUGCACUAUUGGACCUCUUGACUUCGUAAAAUCUCUGUGCGACUUGGGAGCUAGCAUCAAUCUGAUGCUGCUAGCUAUUUAUAAAAAAUUAGAUUUAAGAGACCCCACACCUACUAACAUGCAGCUUGUAAUGGUGGAUAGGUCGGUCAAAUAACCUGUUGGUAUUUUAUAUGAUAUGUUAGUAAAGAUUGCUAGUUUCAUAUUUCCUGCGGAUUUCAUCAUUAUGGAUUGGGAGGUGGAUUUUGAGGUUCCUAUAAUCUUGGGUCUACCUUUCCUCCCAGUUGAAAGUGUGCUGAUUGAUUUACAAGCUAAUGAGCUCUUAGUUAGGUUGAAUGAUAAAGUGGUGUAAUUUGAUAUGUGCCAAUCAAUGAAGCAAUAGAAAGAAAUGACUGUGUUUUCCAUUGUGGAUGUCUAUUAUGAGGAGGAGUAGGAAGUGUCAAUUGAAGAGAAAUUUGCUGUUGAAACAUUAGUUGUCGUAUUGAUAAAUUUUGAUCAGGAUGGUAUAGAGGAUUAUGAGGAGACUGUAUGUGCAUUAAAUGGCAUGGGGUCUUACUUAUAUGCUCCCAAGAGGUUGGACUUGGACUUAGAAAAUCAUCUAAGUCCACCUGCUAAGCCCUCUAUAGAAGAGCCACCUAUCCUAGAGCUGAAAGAGUUAACAAGUCAUUUGAGGUAUGUGUUCUUGGGGAGUGGGAAUACAUUACCUGUUAUUGUUGUAGAUGACCUAGGUGAGCAGAAGGUGGAAACACUUAUUUCGGUGCUUCAAUGAUACAAAAGAGCCAUAGCCUGGACUAUUGCUGACAUUAUUGGCAUUCCCUCUGGCAUCUGGACUCAUAAGAUACAACUUGAGGAAGAAUGUACUCCUACCAUUGAGCAUCAACGCUGUUUUAAUCCACUAAUGCAAGAGGUGGUUAAGAAGAAAAUUAUUAAGUGGCUAGAUGCAGAAGUGGUUUAUCCUAUUUCAGACAGUAAAUGUGUAAGCCCAGUUUAAUGUGUGCCCAAGAAAGGGGGCAUAACUGUUGUUAUACAUAAAAAGAACUAGUUGAUUCCUGUUAGGCCUGUGACUGGUUAGAGAGUUUCCAUGGACUACUGCAAACUAAACUCAUGGACUUUAAAGGACUACUUCCCAAUGCCCUUCAUGGAUCAAAUGCUUGAUCAGUUGGCAGGAAGGCCGUGGUAUUGUUUCUUGGAUGGAUAUUCUAGCUACAAUUAGAUCUGUAUUGCUCCUGAAGAUCAGGAGAAUACGACGUUCACAUACCCGUAUGGCACUUUUGUAUUCAAGUAGAUACCGUUUAGGUUAUGUAAUGCACCCGCUACCUUCUAAAGGUGUAUGAUGUCUAUUUUAUCAGAUAUGGUUGAGGACACCUUGGAGGUAUUCAUGGAUGAUUUUUCUGUGGUUAGAGAUUCAUUUGAGUUGUGUCUAGCUAACUUGAGUAGGGCUUUACAGAGGUGUGUGGAAUUCAAUCUUGUGCUUAAUUGGGAGAAAUGCCACUUCAUGGUGAAGGAGGGCAUUGUUCUCGGGCACAAAAUUUCAGCAAAAGGGAUAGAGGUCGAUUGAGCCAAAGUAGAAGUUAUUGAGAAGAUACCACCUCCCAUCUCGAUAAAAAGGGUGCGUAGUUUUCUUGGACAUGCUGGCUUUUACCGGAGGUUUAUAAAAGACCUCUCUAAAAUUGCAAAUCCACUUUGCAAACUUUUGGAGAAGGAAAUUAAGUUUUUCUUUGAUGCUGAAUACAUUAAGGCAUUUGAAUGCCUUAAGAGGAAGCUGGUUGAGGCCCCUAUCAUAGUUGCACCGGAUUGGUCAAAACCAUUUGAGCUAAUAUGUGAUGCAAGCGGUGUUGCCCUUAGAGCUGUGAUGGGGCAAAAGAAGGAAAAAUUAUUUCAUCCAGUUUAGUAUGCCAGCAAGGCACUGAAUGGAGCACAAAAAAACUAAACUGUCAUAGAGCAGGACUUCUAGUAGUGGUGUACGCUUUUGAGAAGUUUUGGGUGUAUUUUCUAGGUACCAAGGUUGUGGUACACACUAACCACACUUCCUUGAGGUACCUAAUGGCAAAGAAGGAUGCUAAACGAAGGUUGAUCCGGUGGGUGUUGCUACUUCAGGAAUUUAACUUCGAGGUCAAGGAUCGUAAGGGAAGUGAGAAUUAGGUGGCUGACCACUUAUUCAGACUCAAAGGCGAGCAAGUAGUAAAAGAUGAACUUGGUAUUGAUAAUUCCUUUCCAGAUGAGAAAGUAUUGGCUGCAGUGCUCGAAAAAGUACCUUGGUAUGAUGACUUUGCAAACUACGUGGUAGGUGAGGUAAUGCCAGAGAAUCUUUCCUUCCAUCAGAAGAAAAAGUUUCUCUAUGGUGUAAAACACUAUUUCUGGGAUGAGCCGUAUCUUUUCCAAAGGUGUGCAGAGGGCAUUAUUAGAAGAUGCGUUCCAGAAGUGGAGAUAUUGAGUGUACUGGAAACAACUCAUGCUUCCCCAGUUGGUGGUCAUCAUGCUGGUGAUCGUACUGCCAGAAAAGUUCCUAAAAGUGGUUACUAUUGGCCCAAUUUGUUAAAGGAUGCUUACGAGUUCAUAAAAUGAUGUGACCAAUGUCAAAGACAAGGGUCUAUCUAAAAGUUCCAUGAGAUGCCAAUGUCCAAGAUGUUAGAGGUUGAACUGUUUGAUGUAUGGGGCAUUGAGUUUAUGGGCCCCUUCGUGAGCUUAUUUGGGAUGAAGUAUAUACUAGUUGAUGUUGACUACAUGUCAAAAUGGGUCGAGGCUAUGGAUCUAGAAUAUAAUUAAGGAAAGCGAGCCAUUGCAUUUUUGAGGAGAAAUAUCUCUUAUCGCUUUGGGGUACCACGGACCAUCAUAAGCGAUGGAGGAUCACACUUUUGCAACAAGAUGUUCUGAGCCUUAUUGGCAAAAUAUAGAGUUAAGCAGCAUAUGGUAGCUACACCAUAUCACCCGUAAAUAAGUGGGUAAGUAGAAAUCUCCAAUCGGGAAAUCAAGGCUAUCCCUGCAAGACUGUGAAUGUGAGUAGGAAGGAUUGGUCUAGGAAGAUGGACGAUGCAUUAUGGGCAUAUCGAACAACUUUCAAGGCACCUAUUGGUAUGUCACCAUACCAAUUGGUUUAUGCCAAGGCAUGCCAUUUGCCGAUUGAGCUAGAUCAUAAAGUACUGUGGGCACUAAAGCGUCUUAAUCUGAACUAGAAUGAGGUAGAAAAUAUGAGACUGGUGAUAUGUGUGCAAUUGCAAACACAUUUAAGGCCUUUAAACUAGAAUUAUUGCAAAGUAUUAAGAAACUCUUUUUGUUUUUUUGAUUGUUUUUAUUGUUUUAAUGCAAAUACUAGUGAUCGGGGAGAAAUAAAAGGAAAGAAGAACAAAUAAGUUAGAAUCUGGUGCAGAUAAGCUGAAGUAAAACAGACGACAUUUCUGAAUGUCAAAGUCACCAUUAAGAGUAGAUAGAAUCGGAAGAAUUCAAGUGACAGGUGAUGACCUUUUUGAAGCGCCAUCACAACUUUGAUAAAGCGUCAAAAUUGCUGUCAACUCAAAGCAGAACAUGAUGAUUUCAAAUGAAGAUGUGACAACAUUUUUCAUGUGCCAUCACUUAAUUGACACGCCAUCAGAUUUGCCAUCAGAAGACUCAGAAGAUAAAAAUUCACUAGAAUCUUUGACGAUAUCUUGCACACAUCAUCAGACAUCUGACGCGCUGUCAAGAUCGCCAUCGACUAUUUUGAAGAGAAAACUUAAAUCUUAAUUUGUGUUUCCUUAUUUAGAAUUACCUAGUUACAGACUUUUUUUAGGGAUUUUAAAGAUUUUUUUUUAUCUUUUUGGGAUUUGGAUGAUGCAGAAGCUAUCAGACAAUUAACUCGGAGGUGGCACGUAAAAUUACUUUAUUUUUUUCAUCAGAUAUUUUUCUUGUUUUCUUUUCCAAACACUUAUCAACUAUUGUGGGUUUCCAUCUUGUGAUCGAAUUGAAGAAGUACUUAUUAUCCAUCACUAAGUUUAUCUAUAUUACCAUGAAUUCAACUUGUUAUUUCGUUCAUCAAAUCAUGAGCAACUAAUUCUAUUAGCCCGAGUUAUGGGAUCCAUGGAUUAGGGUUUGAUAUGAUGCUAGGUAUUUAAAGGAUUUAAAGAGUAGUAGGACAUCUUGAAGUUCUGUUACUUUAACUUAAAUCUAUUGGUUGCAAAUAAUAGGUUAUGCCUUAGGCUUAUUUGCUUUUAACAAAGAAAUAAACUAGAGGACGUGAAUUAUCAACAGGGACUCGGAAGCUACCAACCUUUUGUUUAAUGAUGGAUGUCGUAACUGAAUUAAUAUACUUGAGAUAAAAUCCUAUUGGAAAUAGAUAAGUUAUAUAAGUUUGAGAGAAUUAAAUAAUAAAUUGUCUGGUGAGGUCGAGAGAUUAGUCAGAUAGUAUCGUCGUCACGAAUAUUCUGCUGUUUCUACUUACUUCAAGAGUCUUACUUACCUAGUAUCUAUCAAUUCCUAAAACCCAUGGUGAAAAUAACUACGGUCUCCCACUUAUCUUGGUUACAAGUACUAAAAUAUUGAAAGUGACAAUUGACUCUCUGUGAAACUUAAACCCCUAUUUCGGAAAUAGUAAACUACUAGUAAAGUAUUUCGUAAAAAUUCGAAGUUCACACCCUAUUCCCUGUGGGAUUCGACCCCAACCUAGUUGGGUUUUAUAUUGACAAAGAUCGCUUACACCCAUUCAAGAGUGUAGUUUGAGCGUUAUCAAAAAUGGCGCCGUUGCCGGGGAAUACGGUUAUGGACUGAAAGUUUGUGUACAAAAAUUUACUGAUAGUUAAGUUUUCUAGAUUUACGUUCAGUUGUUAUUUUUGUUUAUUUGUAGGAUACUUAUAGAUUAAUCCAAGCACUACUCAAUCCGGAACCCCACUACAUAAGCCGAAUGGUAGAACAACCGCUGCGGUAUGAGGUUGGUGAUGAUGACGAUGUGGAUAGAGAAAGUGCAACGGGUGCGAUCAUUCCCCCUACGUUGGCACCUGGAGCAAAGUUCAAUAUUAUAAGCACUAUGAUCUAACUCCUGAAUCUGAAGGGGUUAUUUGGAGGCCUUCCUGGGGAUGACCCCAACCUGCAUCUGGUAAAUUUUGUCACCAUUUGCAAAUUCCGUGAUAACCUGGGGGUAAGCCAGAGUGCUAUUUGGUUGAGGCUGUUCCCAUUGUCUCUGUCUAGAGAGGCAACAUUAUGGCUAAAUGAGUUGACACCUGACUCUAUAACUAACUGGAGGCAGUUGAGAGGAGCUUUCCUAGAAAUGUUCUUUCCACCGUCCAGAAGGGUACAGUUGAGGGAUGAGAUUAACAACUUUAGACUGCUCCCGAAUGAGGCUUUACAUGAAACUUGGGAGAGGUUCAAGAAGAAGCUGACACAGUGUCCGUACCAUAACAUAAUGGAUAUAUUUGAUGGAGACUUUGUAAAGAGCUUUUAACUCUGUGACAAAUCCAGUGGUAGAUAACGCUGCUGGUGGGUUAUUUGAUGCUCUGUCAUGUCAGAUGCUGCUGAUAUGCUGAUAGGAUGACCAAACUAAGUAGGGCUUAGUACACCAGCGAUUCUGUGGUGGAAAGUCCAACUAUUCCUAUUAGAAUAAAUGAUGAACAAUGCAGAAGAGAUGAGGAGAAGGAUCAAGAUAUGGACCAUCUAAAGACAUAAAUGGACCUGCUCAUGAAACACUUAUCGUCAGGAAGGAUGGAAAGAUAAAGGCUGUAAUUAUUCGGGAUCGGGUUGAUAUGGAUCCUGAAUAAGAAACCAACUAUGUUACUAAUCAGGGGGUUUUCGAGGCAAUAGCCACGUGAAACAAGGUUGGAACGGGUAAGACAAUCCUAAUCCCAAAUACAGGGAGCAAAAAAACUGGAGAAGCAGUAAUGACAGAAGUGGGUUUUAUGUUUGUGCUGGAAAUAAAAAAGCUAGUACAGCUAGAUUGGGAAAGUGGUCUAUGGAGGAUAUGAUAAAAGAACUGUUGAAAGGAGUAGAGGCUACCAACACAGGAGUAACUAGUAUGAGGUGUGAAUUUUCCACUAUGAUUCAGUUGGUUAGUUCACAUUCAACUUCUAUCCAGCAGUUAGAGCAAUAGAUCAGUCAACUUUCCUCAACACUGAACCAGGAAAGAAGUGGUACUUUACUUAAUCAAAUAAUUCAGGAUCAGAAGAUAGAUGGUUCAUGUCUGGCGAUUACCACUAGGAGUGGUAAGAUUUUAUCUGGCCCUUCUUCGGGCAAAUCUUUAAACAAUGAGAAAGUUGUAGAGGAACCAACAAAAGAACACCCAGAGGAGUCUGAGAAGCCGAAUAGCUCAGUUGAUAUAUCGGACAAGGAGAAGAAGAGAAAGUGUUGUUGAAAUGUAUCCCAAGGCCACCACCUCCCUUUUUUCAACGAUUAAGAAAGAAGGUCGACGAUGCAAAAUUCAGCAAAUUCCUAGCAAUGCUCAAGCAAUUGACAAUAAAUGUGCCUUUGAUUAAAUCACUUGAGCAGAUGGUACAUGACCUUGUUACCAAGAAACAAGCAGUGUGUUUCGAACCAAAAGUAGACUUCCACCUUUGCAGCGCUAUUUCUACAAGGACCUUGAUGUAGAAGAAGUCGGAUCCAGGUGCAGUCACCAUUCCCUGCGCAAUUGGAACCAUUGAAUUCGCUAAAGUACUAUGUGAUUUGGGAGCAAGUGUUAACCUAAUGCCACUGACUAUUUAUGAAAAGUUGGGUCUGGGGAAUCCCAUACCUACCAACAUGAGACUGGUGAUGGCAGACAGGUCAGUAAAUUGACAUGUUGGUAUUCUGUAUGACGUGUUGUUAAAGGUCUCAAAUUUAUAUUCCCUGCAGACUUUAUCAUUUUGGACUACGAGGUGGACUUUGAGGUGCCCAUAAUCUUGGGUCGACCAUUCCUCACAACUGGAAGUAUGUUGAUUAAUUUGAGAGCAAAUGAGCUCUUAUUUAGGGUAAAUGAUGAAGUGGUGUGGUUUGAUGUAGGCAAAUUAAUGAAACAACAUGAGGAAAUGAGUGUGUUCUCAGUAGUUGAUGUGUAUUUUGAGGACGAACAGGAUGUGCUCAUAACUAAACAGCUUGUUAUCGAGCCUUUAGCUGCGGUUGUGAUGAACUCUGAUAGUGAAGGCAUUGAGGAGUAUAAAGAGACAGUUUGUGCCCUGACUGGCCUGGGCUUGUAUUCUUAUGCUCCUAAAAAGCUGGACCUUAACAUGGCUAAUCGACUAACACCACCAGCCAAGCCAUCUAUUGAAGAACCUCUGGUGUUGGAAUUGACGGAGCUGCCUGGUCACUUACGAUAUGUGUUUUUAGGAAAAGGGAGAAUGCUACCUGUUAUUAUUGCAACUGAUUUGGAAGAACAACAGGUAAAUGCAUUUAUUUUAGUACUUUAGAGGCAUUAGAGAGCAAUCGGAUGGACCAUCGCAGAUAUUAUUGGCAUUUCACUUGGCAUCUAUACGCAUAAAAUCCAACUAGAAGAAGAUUUUACUCUUACCAUUGAGCAUCAGUGCCGUCUUAACCCACCAAUAUAGGAGGUGGUUAAAAAGGAGAUCAUUAAGUGGUUGGAUGCAGGAGUAGUUUGCCUUAUUUUUGAUAGCAAAUGGGUGAGUCCGGUUUAAUGCAUUCCUAAAAAAGAGGGUAUGAUGGUGGUUGCUAAUGAAAAAACAAGCUGAUUCCAUUCAGACCAGUAACCGGGUGGAGAGUCUAUAUGGAUUACCAUAAUUUAAACUCUUAGACUCUGAAGGACCACAUCCUAAUGCCCUUUAUAGACUAAAUGCUUGAUCGAUUGGCUGGUAGGGGUGGUAUUACUUCUUGGAUGGGUAUUCUGGAUAUAAUAAAAUCUGCAUUGCUCCGAAAGAUCAAGAGAAGGCGACAUUCACAUGCCCAUAUGGUACAUUUGCAUUUAGGAGGAUUCCAUCUGGGCUAUGCAAUGCACCCACCACUUUUCUACGAUUCAUGAUGUCUAUCUUUUGUGACAUGGUGGAAGACACCAUAGAGGUAUUCAUGGAUUAUUUCUCUAUGGUAGGUGAUUCAUUUGAAAUAUGUCUAGAGAAUCUGAAUGUGGCCUUGCAAAGAUGUGUUGAAUUUAAUAUAGUGCUUAAAUACGAAAAAUGUCAUUUUAUGGUGAAGGAGGGUAUCCUGCUUUGGCACAAAAUUUUUGAAAAAGGGAUUGAAGUUGAUCGAGCAAAGGUAGAAGUUAUUGAGAAAUUACCGCCUCCCAUUUCAGUAAAGGGAGUGCAUAGUUUUCUUGGUCAUGCAGGAUUCUAUCAGAGAUUCAUAAAAAACUUCUCAAAAGUUGCAAAUCCACUUUCCAAGCUAUUGGACAAGGAAGUGAAAUUCCUCUUCGAUGACAAAUGCUUGAAGGCAUUUGAGUUCCUUAAAAAGAAGCUGAUUGAGGCCCCUAUUGUUAUUGCACCUGACUGGGGAAAGUCAUUUGAAAUAAUGUGUGAUGCAAGUGGUGUCGCGCUGGGAGCUGUAUUGGGACAGAAGAGAAAUAAAUUGUUUCACCCGAUAUAUUAUGCCAGCAAAGCACUAAAUAGAGCAUAAAAGAAUUACACAGUAACCGAACUGGAACUAUUAGCCGUGGUGUAUGCUUUAAGAAAUUCAGAUCUUAUCUGCUUGGGACUAAAGUGGUAGUCCAUACUGACCAUGCUGCCUUACGGUACUUGAUGGCCAAGAAGGAUGCUAACCAAGGUUUAUUAGAUGGGUGUUGCUACUACAAGAGUUUGAUUUUGAAGUCAAAGAUAGGAACGGUUGUGAAAACCAGGUUGCAGAUCAUUUAUAUAGAAUGGAAGGUGUACAGGAAGCUAAUGAUAAAACAAAGAUAAAUGGUGCAUUUCCCGAUGAGGAGAUCCUGGCAACUGCUGUGGAAAUAUUGCCCUGGUACACGAAUUUAUCAAACUACAUUGUGAGUGAGAUCCUCCCAGAAAAUUUUUCAUUCCACCAAAGGAACAAGUUCUUAUAGGAUGUAACACUACUUCUGGGACGAGCCUUUUCUUUUUUAGCAAUGUUUAGACAAUAUCAUACGGAGAUGCAUGCAUGAAGUGGAUGUACUGUGCAUACUUGAAGCAUGUCAUGCUUCCCCAGUUGGGGGGUCACUAUGCAGGUGACCGAACGGAUAGGAAGGUGUUGCAGAGUGGCUAUUAUUGGCCAACAUUGUUUAAAGAUACCCACGAGUUUGUGUAGAAAUGUGACCAAUGUCAGAGGUAGGGGUCCAUAUCUAAAAGGCAUAAAAUUCCCUUGACUAAGAUGCUUGAAGUGGAAUUAUUUGAUGUCUAGGGCAUUGACUUCAUAGAUUCGUUUGUAAGUUCUUAUGGAAUGAAGUAUAUUUUUGUUGCUGUUGGCUAUGUUUCUAAAUGGGUCAAAACUGUAGCUUUGGCUGACAAUGAGGGAAAGNNNNNNNNNNNNNNNNNNNNNNNNNNNNNNNNNNNNNNNUGGGGUACCACAUACUAUCAUCAGCGAUGGAGGAUCUCACUUUUGCAAAAAAAUAUUUCGAGCAUCUUUGGAGAAAUAUGGAGUGAAAUAACACAGAGUGGAUACUCCGUAGCACCCUUAAACCAGUGGGCAAGUAGAGGUGUCGAAUCGUGAAGUUAACUCCAUCCUAUCCAAGACGAUGACUGCUAGCAGAAAAGACUGGUCCCAAAAACUUGAUGAUGCCUUAUGGGCAUACCAAACUGCUUUUAAGACACCUAUUGGCAUAUCACCAUUUCAGUUGGUCUAUAGAAAGGCGUGCCAUUUGCCAAUAGAGCUGGAACACGAAGCUUUAUGGGUGCUCAAGAGGUUGAAUUUAAAUUGGAAGAAAGCAGCAGAGAUAAGACUAGGGCAACUGAAUGAGAUGGAUGAAUUCCGUCUCAGGGCAUAUGAACGAGUAGAUUUGUAUAUAGAGAAGCUGAAAAAGUACCAUGACUGGAAAAUAGAGAAAUAAGAGUUCAAAAAAGGAGACUUGGUGUUUCUGUUUAAUUCCAGACUCAAAUUGUUCCCAGGGAAGCUGAAAUCUAAGUGGUCAGUUCCUUUUAAGGUAAGUCAAGUCCACUCAUCUGGAGUAGUGGAGCUCGAAAACGAAGAUGUUAGUACAUUUAAGGUAAAUGGAAAACGGGUUAAGCUUUACAUUGGCCUAGAAGAAUCUAUGAAAAACAUCACUAUUAUUUGUCUUAAUGAAGUUUGAGGUAAUUGAGACACCUGAGUCAUUCCGCGACAUUAAAUCAAGCGCUGUGUGAGAGAAAACCCAUGAUCCCUGAGAACAAACCAGUCCAGGUAUACCCUAACUCUUAAGCUAGUUUUUGCUUUAGUUCUAAGUUGAAUGUGGCUGGUACUCUGCUAUUGUAACAUAGUUUUUGGUUAAAAAAAAGGGCGGUGACAUGUCUUGCUCAAUGUUUAACCAUCCUUCCAAUAUCUUGCUUGAUAAACUGUGUGAAGUACAUUUACUUGUGACCAUUUUGAAUCUUGUUGUGGCAUUAAUUAUAGCUGCUUGAUGAUCAUUACUGAACAAUUGCAUGAACUAGAUAAGUAGUGAUAUGUGAUAUACUUGUGUGCCAGGUGUGUGCGAGCUAUUACUUGUUUUCCUCUGUAUGCUAAAGCCAGAACUUUCCUAGUUAGUCUUUCCAUGGUCUUAGUAUAGGGGUUAGGACAGGAUCAUAGGCCGUCAUUGAUUAACUCACUUUUAGCCUAAAUAUCCUUCUCUGUAUGCAUAACACCCUUUUGCUCCCUAUUUAGAGCCUAGCUUGACCAUUUCUUUUGCAUGACAUCUUUCACCUUCCCAUUUAUACCAUAAUAAACAUAUAUAACCCUAGGCUUACUUGGACAUUGAGCACUUUGAUCUAGGCAAAUAGCCUAAGUUAAAGGUGGCUAUCAUAGGUGUGCAUGGUGUAUGAUGAGAAGUAUGAAGAUGAACUAAAGAUGGGUUCUAAUAAUGCAAGAUAAAAAUAGAAGAGAAGAGAAGAGAAGAGAAGAGAGAGUUGUUGCAUCACCCAACUUGAAUAUGGAUAAUCAAGAGAAGAAGAAAAAUGAAAGAGGAUAAUUAGUGAGUCUAAGAAAGAAGUGUAGUGUCAAGGAGGCAUAGUCACUCUAAAUAACCUUGAAUUUCAUACCAGCCUCAAACCACAUUACAAGCCUAAAAGAAGUCCUAUAGUGAUCCUGACUGGCCUAUCUGAGGUCUAGUAACGAAAAUAAGGGCAAGCCUAUGGUACUUAGCAUACAUUGGUUGAAACUUUCUUGUGAGAGUGAAAGUCUGGUGAUAACCCCCAAUUUGUAUGGUUGGAUCUCUAGUAUGAGGAGAGGGGGAUUUCUUUGUUGCGAGGGCACACGGGUAUCGUCACUAGCUACUCGCUUGUUUAGACAAUGUGGUAUUGAUAUGUGAAUGGUUAUUGUGGCCAAGGUUGAUGCUGCCGCUUAAUUCCUUUGUGUUACAGUACUGUUUUCAAUGAUAUGCACAUUGGUUUGGCAUUGAAAGGAUAACUUUGUGUUGAGCUAUGUGUGCUAAAUAUGCUAUGUGUUUUCUUAAUUAGAUGUAGUUACUUGAGGACAAGCAAUUACUUUAAGUUGAGGGUGUUGAUGUGUGCGCAAUUGCGGACACAUUUAAGGCCUUUAACCUAGAAUAAUUGCAAAGUCUUAAGCAAAUUUUGUUAUUUUUUUGAUUGUUUUAUUGUUUUAAUGUAGAUACUAGUGAUUGGGGAGAAAUAAA